This 216-nucleotide ribosomal RNA is filed under the name Glomeromycotina sp. Its description in RNAcentral is "partial small subunit ribosomal RNA". The stretch from base 40 to 216 matches the Rfam family "Eukaryotic small subunit ribosomal RNA", at positions 686 to 864 of the family's 1831-position model. The record is from RNAcentral. Lineage: Eukaryota; Fungi; Glomeromycota.
GGGUCAGUAGGUUGGUCGUGCCACCGGUACGUACUGGUCUCACUGAUUCCUCCUUCCUGAAGAACCGUAAUGCCAUUAAUUUGGUGUUGCGGGGAAACAGGACUGUUACUUUGAAAAAAUUAGGGUGUUUAAAGCAAGCUAACGCUUGAAUACAUUAGCAUGGAAUAAUGAAAUAGGACGAUCGAUCCUAUUUUGUUGGUUUCUAGGAUUGACGCA